AGAAUCAACGCUGGCGGCGUGCCUAACACAUGCAAGUCGAACGCGAAAGUCCCGCAAGGGAUGAGUAGAGUGGCAAACGGGUGAGUAACACGUGGGUGACCUGCCUUCGAGCGGGGGAUAACGUCCCGAAAGGGACGCUAAUACCGCAUGACAUCCUGCCUUUGAAGAGGCGGAGAUACGAAAGGCCGGGGAUCGCAACGACCUGGCACUCGGAAGGACGGGGCCCCGCGCCUAGACUUAGCUUAGUUGGGUCGGGGUAACGCGUCACCAAGGCGACGAUCGAGUAGCCGGCCUGGAGGACGGGCGGACGCCACACGUGGGACUGAGACGCGGCCCAGACCUCCGACGGGAGGCAGCGAGGUGGGUAAUUGUUA
This 374-nucleotide ribosomal RNA is filed under the name uncultured soil bacterium. RNAcentral describes it as "bacterial SSU rRNA". It matches the Rfam family "Bacterial small subunit ribosomal RNA", at positions 26 to 367 of the family's 1533-position model. The record is from RNAcentral.